GACGAACGCUGGCGGCGUGCUUAACACAUGCAAGUCGAACGGAAAGGCCCUGCUUUUGUGGGGUGCUCGAGUGGCGAACGGGUGAGUAACACGUGAGUAACCUGCCCUUGACUUUGGGAUAACUUCAGGAAACUGGGGCUAAUACCGGAUAGGAGCUCCUGCUGCAUGGUGGGGGUUGGAAAGUUUCGGCGGUUGGUGAUGGACUCGCGGCUUAUCAGCUUGUUGGUGGGGUAGUGGCUUACCAAGGCUUUGACGGGUAGCCGGCCUGGGAGGGUGACCGGCCACAUUGGGACUGAGAUACGGCCCAGACUCCUACGGGAGGCAGCAGUGGGGAAUAUUGCACAACGGGCGGAAGCCUGAUGCAGCAACGCCGCGUGCGGGAUGACGGCCUUCGGGUUGUAAACCGCUUUCGCCUGUGACGAAGCGUGAGUGACGGUAAUGGGUAAAGAAGCACCGGCUAACUACGU
Molecule: ribosomal RNA, 467 nt
Filed under: uncultured bacterium
Lineage: Bacteria
Description: partial 16S ribosomal RNA
Rfam family: Bacterial small subunit ribosomal RNA
Source: RNAcentral